GCCCGCGUAGCUCAAUCGGUAGAGCGUGGGACUCUUACAGAGUAGGGUUCAUCCCAAGGCUGCGGGUUCGAGCCCCGCCGUGGGCU
This 86-nucleotide transfer RNA is filed under the name Beta vulgaris subsp. vulgaris (sugar beet). RNAcentral describes it as "tRNA tRNA-Lys". It matches the Rfam family "tRNA". Rfam says of the family: Transfer RNA (tRNA) molecules are approximately 80 nucleotides in length. Lineage: Eukaryota; Viridiplantae; Streptophyta; Magnoliopsida; Caryophyllales; Amaranthaceae. The record is from Rfam by way of RNAcentral.